GUGAACGCUGGCGGUAGGCCUAACACAUGCAAGUCGAACGGCAGCACAGUAAGAGCUUGCUCUUACGGGUGGCGAGUGGCGGACGGGUGAGGAAUACAUCGGAAUCUACCUUUUCGUGGGGGAUGACGUAGGGAAACUUACGCUAAUACCGCAUACGACCUACGGGUGAAAGCAGGGGAUCUUCGGACCUUGCGCGAUUGAAUGAGCCGAUGUCGGAUUAGCUAGUUGGCGGGGUAAAGGCCCACCAAGGCGACGAUCCGUAGCUGGUCUGAGAGGAUGAUCAGCCACACUGGAACUGAGACACGGUCCAGACUCCUACGGGAGGCAGCAGUGGGGAAUAUUGGACAAAGGGCGCAAGCCUGAUCCAGCCAUACCGCGUGGGUGAAGAAGGCCUUCGGGUUGUAAAGCCCUUUUGUUGGGAAAGAAAAGCAGCAGGUUAAUACCCCGCUGUUCUGACGGUACCCAAAGAAUAAGCACCGGCUAACUUCGUG
This 491-nucleotide ribosomal RNA is filed under the name uncultured bacterium. Its description in RNAcentral is "partial 16S ribosomal RNA". It matches the Rfam family "Bacterial small subunit ribosomal RNA", at positions 29 to 507 of the family's 1533-position model. The record is from RNAcentral.